AACGAACGCUGGCGGCAUGCCUAACACAUGCAAGUCGAACGAGACCUUCGGGUCUAGUGGCGCACGGGUGCGUAACGCGUGGGAACCUGCCCUUAGGUUCGGAAUAACUCCCCGAAAGGGGUGCUAAUACCGGAUAAUGUCUUCGGACCAAAGAUUUUUCGCCUUUGGAUGGGCCCGCGUUGGAUUAGCUAGUUGGUAGGGUAAAAGCCUACCAAGGCGACGAUCCAUAGCUGGUCUGAGAGGAUGAUCAGCCACGCUGGGACUGAGACACGGCCCAGACUCCUACGGGAGGCAGCAGUGGGGAAUAUUGGACAAUGGGCGAAAGCCUGAUCCAGCAAUGCCGCGUGAGUGAUGAAGGCCUUAGGGUUGUAAAGCUCUUUUACCCGGGAUGAUAAUGACAGUACCGGGAGAAUAAGCUCCGGCUAACUCCGUG
Molecule: ribosomal RNA, 433 nt
Filed under: uncultured bacterium
Lineage: Bacteria
Description: partial 16S ribosomal RNA
Rfam family: Bacterial small subunit ribosomal RNA
Source: RNAcentral